RNAcentral lists this ribosomal RNA (502 nucleotides) under uncultured bacterium. RNAcentral's name for it is "partial 16S ribosomal RNA". It matches the Rfam family "Bacterial small subunit ribosomal RNA", at positions 30 to 523 of the family's 1533-position model. The record is from RNAcentral.
AUUGAACGCUGGCGGCAUGCCUUACACAUGCAAGUCGAACGGCAGCACGGGAGCUUGCUCCUGGUGGCGAGUGGCGAACGGGUGAGUAAUACAUCGGAACGUACCCAGGAGUGGGGGAUAACGUAGCGAAAGUUACGCUAAUACCGCAUAUUCUGUGAGCAGGAAAGCGGGGGAUCGCAAGACCUCGCGCUCUUGGAGCGGCCGAUGUCGGAUUAGCUAGUUGGUGAGGUAAAAGCUCACCAAGGCGACGAUCCGUAGCAGGUCUGAGAGGAUGAUCUGCCACACUGGGACUGAGACACGGCCCAGACUCCUACGGGAGGCAGCAGUGGGGAAUUUUGGACAAUGGGGGCAACCCUGAUCCAGCCAUGCCGCGUGAGUGAAGAAGGCCUUCGGGUUGUAAAGCUCUUUCGGCGGGGAAGAAAUGGCAACGGCUAAUAUCCGUUGUUGAUGACGGUACCCGCAUAAGAAGCACCGGCUAACUACGUGCCAGCAGCCGCCGCAG